UCAUCAAUAAUAAUUGUACAUCAGAACAUGAUGAAUGGAGACUCAUGAGAUAUGAUUAAUAUCUCCAUCUUGUAGGGAACAGCAACACCCUACAAAACCCAUUCUGAC
This is a small nucleolar RNA of Sebastes umbrosus (honeycomb rockfish), 108 nucleotides long. RefSeq annotates it as U8 small nucleolar RNA. The record is from RefSeq and is a predicted model, not a curated record. The transcript has a single exon. NCBI's taxonomy places the organism in Eukaryota, Metazoa, Chordata, Actinopteri, Perciformes, Sebastidae.